CGUGCAGGCGGUUUGGUAAGUCAGAUGUGAAAGCCCCGGGCUCAACCCGGGAAGUGCAUUUGAAACUACCUUUCUUGAGUAUGGGAGAGGAGAGUGGAAUUCCCAGUGUAGAGGUGAAAUUCGUAGAUAUUGGGAGGAACACCGGUGGCGAAGGCGACUCUCUGGACCAAUACUGACGCUGAGACGCGAAAGCGUGGGGAGCAAACAGGAUUAGAUACCCUGGUAGUCC
This 229-nucleotide ribosomal RNA is filed under the name uncultured bacterium. RNAcentral's name for it is "partial 16S ribosomal RNA". It matches the Rfam family "Bacterial small subunit ribosomal RNA", at positions 568 to 796 of the family's 1533-position model. The record is from RNAcentral.